Ruditapes philippinarum (Manila clam) is the source of this 477-nucleotide long non-coding RNA. RefSeq lists it as uncharacterized. The transcript has 5 exons. The record is from RefSeq and is a predicted model, not a curated record. Lineage: Eukaryota; Metazoa; Mollusca; Bivalvia; Venerida; Veneridae.
GUUUAAAGCUACUGUUUAAAAACAUUAAUAAAAAAUAUUCUUUACUUACUUCAAUAGGUACAAUUGAAAUGUGACUGUUAAGCAAUAAAGAGGAAAAAUCUUACACAUCAUUUGAGGAAAAAUUAAGACGAGUGUGUGGAAGAUGACGUAGAAGAUGAUGAUGACGAAGAUGUUGUUGAUGUUGCAGAAGAUGAUGAUGACGACCUUGAUGAUGAUGAUUAGUGAGAACCUGAUUUGUUUGUGGAAACAUAAGGUAUCAAAUUCGAUCUAUUUCAGGUUUGCCAAAGACUAAAUCAAUUGGAAGUCGAAUUUCAGAGCCAAACAUCAUGGUUGUUGGUGUGACACCAGUUGACUCGUGCACAGACGAACGAUAUGCCAUUAAACAAAAAGAAAGAAAUAUCAACACUGUCACUGAUCCGGUCAACAUAAAGAAAUACACUGCUGUUUAUUGUACAGUUCAAUCAAUAAAUUAACUGA